Molecule: ribosomal RNA, 482 nt
Filed under: Euwallacea sp. KO-2014
Lineage: Eukaryota; Metazoa; Arthropoda; Insecta; Coleoptera; Curculionidae
Description: eukaryotic LSU rRNA
Rfam family: Eukaryotic large subunit ribosomal RNA
Source: RNAcentral
CGAUGUUCUCGGACAGACUUCCAUAAAAAAGGGGGGCGGGGAGGAGAAGAAGGGGGGGUUCGCGCUUCCUUCUCGCUCUCUCUCUGUCUCUCGAAGACCGAUCGGCGACGCUAUAGCUUUGGGUACUUUCAGGACCCGUCUUGAAACACGGACCAAGGAGUCUAGCAUGUACGCGAGUCAUUGGGAUUUUUACUAAACCUAAAGGCGCAAUGAAAGUGAAGGUUUUCCUCGCGAAGACCGUGGGAAGACGGACGGGCGGGCGCGCGGCGCGUACUUCGGUGCGCGUCGCGGUACCGAAACGAUCGCCCGUCCCGCAUUCCCGGGGCGUCUCGUUCGCAUCGCGCGAAGAGGCGCACCGCGAGCGUACACGCUGGGACCCGAAAGAUGGUGAACUAUGCCUGGUCAGGACGAAGUCAGGGGAAACCCUGAUGGAGGUCCGUAGCGAUUCUGACGUGCAAAUCGAUCGUCGGAACUGGGUAUAG